Molecule: long non-coding RNA, 310 nt
Organism: Labeo rohita (rohu)
Lineage: Eukaryota; Metazoa; Chordata; Actinopteri; Cypriniformes; Cyprinidae
Exons: 2
Source: RefSeq, a predicted model, not a curated record
AACCACCUCCAGACUGCAUACAUCACUGUAAGGUCAACAAACACAUCUCUCUUUGUUAAACCUCUUUUUCCGGCGGUUCGAGUACCAGAGUGGACUCAGUGGAACAGUACACAAGCAGAGCCAUCUUUCACUGCAACUGGCCCACAAAGACUGCCUUGAGGGAACGGACCAAUGGAAUGGGCCCAUCCCGGAAGGGACCAAGGACCCCUUGAAACCCCUUGCCUUCACUGGUUUAUAAGUACAGCAGAAGUGACCCUAUGAGGGUGUAUGGGAGUUUCCAAGAUUACAAAAUAAAGAAAACCAAGAGAAA